GAUGAACGCUGGCGGCGUGCCUAAUACAUGCAAGUCGAGCGAACGGACGAGAAGCUUGCUUCUCUGAUGUUAGCGGCGGACGGGUGAGUAACACGUGGAUAACCUACCUAUAAGACUGGGAUAACUUCGGGAAACCGGAGCUAAUACCGGAUAAUAUUUUGAACCGCAUGGUUCAAAAGUGAAAGACGGUCUUUCUGUCACUUAUAGAUGGAUCCGCGCUGCAUUAGCUAGUUGGUAAGGUAACGGCUUACCAAGGCAACGAUGCAUAGCCGACCUGAGAGGGUGAUCGGCCACACGGGAACUGAGACACGGUCCAGACUCCUACGGGAGGCAGCAGUAGGGAAUCUUCCGCAAUGGGCGAAAGCCUGACGGAGCAACGCCGCGUGAGUGAUGAAGGUCUUCGGAUCGUAAAACUCUGUUAUUAGGGAAGAACAGAUGUGUAAGUAACUGUGCACAUCUUGACGGUACCUAAUCAGAAAGCCACGGCUAACUACGUG
Molecule: ribosomal RNA, 497 nt
Filed under: uncultured bacterium
Lineage: Bacteria
Description: partial 16S ribosomal RNA
Rfam family: Bacterial small subunit ribosomal RNA
Source: RNAcentral